UUCUUCCUUUCCUUUCCUUUCCCUUCUCUCUCCCCUCCCCUCCCCUCUCCGGCAAAGCCCUGCAAACCUUGGGAUGGGCAAAAUCUCCCAAUUAGACCUCAGAAUACCCGUGGACCUCGGUUUUCCGAUCCAAGAGAGCGCACUCUGAUCCUAGGGCAACAUCCCUGCAAGGUAGAUGGUGCGGAGAGAUUAGGCCAGGUAGAGGCAAAGCACCACUUUUGGAAAUCCACUGACAAACCAGGAUCAAAAGAAACAGUGGUUUAGUGUGUAUGUGUGUAUGAUUUUCCCAGCUUGCAGCUGCAAACCGUGGCUGGUUAAAUUUUGCUGCUGGCGAGGAACAAGCUGUGGGUCUGCGGUGGGAUGCACUUAUAUGCAGACAGGUGUGAAUUUCAUCCCAUUUUGUCUCCAAGGAUUGUUUUACAGUGACAAAUGUAUUUAUCCAUAUUUUUUUCUCCACCUCCAGGUGAUAACAGAAUGGGGCCAAGGGAAUUCUUAUGCCCUGGAAGCUGCCAUCAUCACCUGCUCCUGCAUUUCAGUGAUAAUCAAAAGCGUCCUGUUUUGGGCACUGUUUCACGUCUAUCAGAGUUUUGGGCAAGGCCUGAGAGAGAGGAUGUUUUCUUCCUAUGGAAGGAUCGAUUCGUGACCUGCAGCUCCAUCGCCAAACCAGUGUGCUCUUAUAGAGUGAAAACCAAGUUGGGAAAAUCUUGAUUUUUCUCUCCCUUCUGCCCCCCUCCCCGCUCCACCAUUGGACUCUGGAAUCUGAUAAAGAGAAGCCACAGCGGAGACUGGAUCCCAAGGGAGACCCUUUGCUGCAUUUUCUAGGAUCCCACGCUGCCUCGCUGUUUCUCUGGGAUCCACCCCGCCAGCCUUCCUCAACGCAGGAAAGCCAACGAAACCACACAUCCUCCCAAUUCUCCCAAAGGAACUUAAGAUGUAGCUUGCAACUACGAGUGGCCUUUCUCGUGCUGGGGUGUGUGUGUGUGUGUGUUUGGAGGUGUCUGGCCUUUGCUCCCCUGGCUGUAUUGUAGCCCCAUUAUUUAUUUUAACUUAAUUUGGGCCCUGCUACGGUUGGCAUGUCUGAACUUGACCAAUGGGGCAGAUUUCGGUUGCCAAAUUGCAAAGCAAAUCCCUGGGAUGCGGCCGUCGUUCCAAUAAAAAAAAACAACGCACCUUUUUCUCACCCUAAAAGAGCCUCAGGCCCGGCUUGCCUGGCCUGAACCUGCUCUCCGAUCCAGUGUGACACCAGAAAACCAGUUUCUCUUCCAUCGCUUGUGGUUUGCUGCACUCUCCUACGGCCUGUUUUUCACGCUUCCAAGGUUGCAAGGAUCGCUUCGGAUCCUGCAAACCUGGAAAGGAAGAAUCUCUGCCCUUCUGGUGUGGUGCCAGAAAAGCAGAGAACAGCGUACUGGUCGCCCUCCAUUUUGCACAUACCCCUUUCCUUUUGUUUUAAAAAAAAAAAGGCACAAGUUUUUAUCCCACCUGAAGAAUUUCGGGGCCAGGACCCACCGAAGGCAGAAUAGAAUGAACGGUAAACCGUUCACCUAAAAUUGUCCCAUCUGUGUUGCGCCAACUGGGCGCUUGCAAGGGGGCAGCUUCUCCGUCUAAAUCAGACCCAGGUUGAGUUUCUAUCUCUCAAACUUUUGGCUCUAACCGUAGGGUCUUCCCAGCUAAAAGUUUCCUUCGGGUCAAUAUCAGCAUGGCUGAUUUCUUGCUGACUCCAGAGAGCUCUCUUUUUCAAAAGUUCAACAAAGUUUGGUCCUAUUUUUUCAAAACACUCCCCAGCGAUGUGAAUAUCUUAGCUGAGCUAUUCUUCAUAACAAAGUGAUUUUUUCUAACAAAACCCUUGUAUUUCAUACUCUACCAUAAUGCUUUAUUUAAAUAAAUAAAUU
Molecule: non-coding RNA, 1889 nt
Organism: Notechis scutatus (mainland tiger snake)
Lineage: Eukaryota; Metazoa; Chordata; Lepidosauria; Squamata; Elapidae
Source: RefSeq, a predicted model, not a curated record